This 471-nucleotide long non-coding RNA is filed under the name Cyanistes caeruleus (blue tit). RNAcentral describes it as "lncRNA (ENSCCEG00000000045.1)". The record is from RNAcentral. Lineage: Eukaryota; Metazoa; Chordata; Aves; Passeriformes; Paridae.
GGGUACAUUUGAUUUUCUAUAUAAGGAGAUCACUUUUCAUUAUUAUUUUUAACCUUUCUCCAGGUUUGAAGAUGUAGGAGCGUCAAUGUUUGUAUCUAAAUAGAUUUGAAAGUGAUUACUGCAAAGCCAAGCAGCUGAAACCACCUCAGUACUGACACAGCCCAUCAUUACACCCUUCCAGCAUGGGGGGCUCAGCUUUCAAAGGACUGCUGGGAUUUAGCCCCAGUUUCCAUUAACACCAGUGACCCACCCAGCACCACUUUGGGAGUUACCUGGGGCAGUUUUCUUCUCUGGCUACACAGGGGUUUUACCCCCAGCUCCCCUCAAGGUGUUAAAUUAUUUCUGGCAUUGAUGUUCCAUGGAGUGCAAUGUUACAACAUUAUGGUAUUCAAAAGAGCAUCUACAUUUGAUAAUCCUGCUAAUCAUCAAAAGACACUGGAUCUGAAUCCCGAAGGCAAUGUUACAUUUUGA